CGUUGGACAUUCGUACCAUUAUAUUGACAUCCACAACUCAAAAGAGUGGUUAAAAAGUUAUUCAAAAUCUUAUCUAGUCCAACCGCCCAUGGUGACCAGGAGAUGCAUCAUGCUUACAACAGAAGUGUCUUUUAAUCAAAACAAGAGCAAAUCCUUAACCGAGGUAUGUCAGAAAGUAAAACUGGUACCCUGGUUUAAAUCGAAUGGCUUCCCUGUUCACCCGUAAAGGCUUACAGAUUUCGACUUGGGGCAUCCACAUAAGCGGCAGAAUCUCAAGAUCACAUCUUAAUUCAUUGCAAAGUGGCACACAAGGUUUGGUCUUCAUUAACUCCAGAUAAAGAUUGGGCAUGGGCAUGGGCUCUUCAUUAACCACAUUUCUGGCAAUUCUUGGAAAAUUAUAUGGAAUUUAAUUCCGGCAGCGGAUUAUUUGGACGCUAUGGAAUGAGAGAAAUUGUCGAAUUUUUGAAAAAAAGUAAAUCUUCAAGACGGAUGGAGAUCUAUGUGAUAAUGCUAAGGUUCUUUUUCUCUUUUUGGCUGCUGCGGCUGGAAACAAAAUCCAUGCAAAUUUUUCACACACCAUCAUAAACUGGGCAUCUGUA
Long non-coding RNA from Papaver somniferum (opium poppy), 599 nucleotides. RefSeq lists it as uncharacterized. Lineage: Eukaryota; Viridiplantae; Streptophyta; Magnoliopsida; Ranunculales; Papaveraceae. The record is from RefSeq and is a predicted model, not a curated record. The transcript has 3 exons.